Neofelis nebulosa (Clouded leopard) is the source of this 1855-nucleotide RNA transcript. It is a transcript of the gene named RuvB like AAA ATPase 2, with no coding region annotated. The transcript is spliced from 15 exons. The record is from RefSeq and is a predicted model, not a curated record. NCBI's taxonomy places the organism in Eukaryota, Metazoa, Chordata, Mammalia, Carnivora, Felidae.
CAGCGUUAGCAGAGAGAGGAGAGGGUGGAAUAAGGAAGAAAGGGAGCGUGGGGGACGUGUGGUUGCCGAAAGAAGUCUCAAGAAUUUUGCAAUCAACCUCGGCAAGGAGGCCUGGGUAAAGGGAGGGGUCAGGAGGCGUUGGGAACCGACCCAGGAGUUCCGGGCACCCUUCUACCAGCUCAGCCUCGGCGGAAGAGCGGGUCCUGAAAAGUGACGCCACGCCCACACAAGGAGAGUUUGCAUAUUUAUGAAGGAACGCCGAGAUCUUUGGAGGACCUAGCCGUCUAGAGGGACCAGAACGCCGCGUUUCUAGCGCGUUUCCGUUUCCGCUAGGAUAUUGGCGGUUGGUGAGCAUCAUGGCAACCGUGACAGCCACAACCAAGGUCCCAGAGAUCCGAGACGUGACGAGGAUUGAACGUAUCGGCGCGCACUCCCACAUCCGGGGGCUGGGGCUGGACGACGCCUUGGAGCCACGGCAGGCUUCCCAGGGCAUGGUGGGGCAGCUCGCAGCCCGGCGGGCAGCUGGGGUUGUGCUGGAGAUGAUCCGGGAAGGGAAGAUCGCCGGGCGGGCGGUCCUCAUCGCUGGCCAGCCGGGCACGGGGAAGACAGCCAUCGCCAUGGGCAUGGCACAGGCCCUGGGCCCUGACACCCCGUUCACAGCCAUCGCGGGCAGCGAGAUCUUCUCCCUGGAGAUGAGCAAGACAGAGGCGCUGACGCAGGCCUUCCGGCGGUCUAUCGGGGUUCGCAUCAAGGAGGAGACCGAGAUCAUCGAAGGCGAGGUGGUGGAGAUCCAGAUCGAUCGGCCCGCGACAGGGACGGGCUCUAAGGUAGGGAAGCUGACCCUUAAGACCACGGAGAUGGAGACCAUAUACGACCUGGGCACCAAGAUGAUCGAGUCCCUGACCAAGGACAAGGUCCAGGCUGGGGACGUGAUCACCAUCGACAAGGCCACGGGCAAGAUCUCCAAGCUGGGCCGCUCCUUCACACGCGCUCGUGACUAUGACGCCAUGGGUUCCCAGACCAAGUUUGUGCAGUGUCCAGACGGGGAGCUCCAGAAACGCAAAGAGGUGGUGCACACCGUGUCCCUGCAUGAGAUCGACGUCAUCAACUCCCGCACCCAGGGCUUCCUGGCUCUCUUCUCAGGCGACACCGGGGAGAUCAAGUCAGAAGUCCGAGAGCAGAUCAACGCCAAGGUGGCUGAGUGGCGUGAGGAGGGCAAGGCGGAGAUCAUCCCUGGAGUGCUGUUCAUCGACGAGGUGCACAUGCUGGACAUUGAGAGCUUCUCCUUCCUCAAUCGGGCCCUGGAAAGUGACAUGGCGCCGGUCCUCAUCAUGGCCACCAACCGAGGCAUCACCCGGAUCCGGGGUACCAGCUACCAGAGCCCCCACGGCAUCCCCAUCGACCUCCUGGACCGACUGCUCAUCGUCUCCACCUCGCCCUACAGUGAGAAGGACACGAAACAGAUCCUCCGCAUCCGGUGCGAGGAGGAAGACGUAGAGAUGAGUGAGGACGCCUACACGGUGCUGACCCGCAUCGGGCUGGAGACGUCGCUGCGCUACGCCAUCCAGCUCAUCACGGCCGCCAGCCUGGUGUGCCGGAAGCGCAAGGUCAGCCCGCCGAGGCACGGAAGUCCAGGUAGAUGACAUCAAGAGGGUCUACUCGCUCUUUCUGGACGAGUCGCGCUCUACACAGUACAUGAAGGAGUACCAGGAUGCCUUUCUCUUCAAUGAGCUCAAAGGCGAAACCAUGGACACCUCCUGAGCUGAUGUGACCCUCGCCCUCCCUCCCCCCCCCGCUCUGUUUUCUAUUGGAGUUCUGACACUGUGACUUUGUAUAAAAUGGUUCUGAUAUCGGA